Molecule: unclassified non-coding RNA, 352 nt
Filed under: soil metagenome
Description: partial contains 5.8S ribosomal RNA, internal transcribed spacer 2, and large subunit ribosomal RNA
Rfam family: 5.8S ribosomal RNA (bases 1-119)
Source: RNAcentral
GAUGAAGAACGCAGUGAAAUGCGAUACGUAAUGUGAAUUGCAAAUUCAGUGAAUCAUCGAAUCUUUGAACGCACAUUGCGCCCGCCAGUAUUCUGGCGGGCAUGCCUGUUCGAGCGUCAUUACAACCCUCAGGCCCCCGGGCCUGGCGUUGGGGAUCGGCGGAAGCCCCCUGCGGGCACAACGCCGUCCCCCAAAUACAGUGGCGGUCCCGCCGCAGCUUCCAUUGCGUAGUAGCUAACACCUCGCAACUGGAGAGCGGCGCGGCCACGCCGUAAAACACCCAACUUCUGAAUGUUGACCUCGAAUCAGGUAGGAAUACCCGCUGAACUUAAGCAUAUCAAUAAGCGGAGGA